Molecule: RNA transcript, 6165 nt
Organism: Falco peregrinus (peregrine falcon)
Lineage: Eukaryota; Metazoa; Chordata; Aves; Falconiformes; Falconidae
Gene: ITPRID2
Gene name: ITPR interacting domain containing 2
Exons: 22
Source: RefSeq, a predicted model, not a curated record
GCAGGAGGCGAGCUGCCGCCGGCCCCGCUGCCGUCACGUGGCCGCCGAGUUUUCUCCCCGCAGCGGUAUGAGGAAGUCGCAGCCGCCGCCGUCCGCAGCCCGGGCGGGCGCAGCCUCCGCCGCCGCCGCCCCGCGGCGCGAUAUGCUGGCUCUCUCCGGCACUCGCCUCCCGGCGUGAAGCCCCCCGCCGGCGCCGCCGUCCCGAUGGAGGAGCCCCCGGCGGCGGAGGAGUGGCAGGGGGCCACCCAGAAGAGGAAGGCCUGGGCCAAGAGCCGGGACUCCUGGCAGGCGUCGGAAGCGGAGGAUCUCUCGGCAGCGGCGGCGGCGCUAGCCCGCGGCGAGGAGGAGGAGGAGGAGGAAGAAGAGGAGGAAGAGGAGGAGGAGGACCUCGCCGGCGGAGAGCUGCCGCUGGCCGCAGAAGCAGGCCACAGCGUUCCCAACGAGAAGAUCGCGAUAUGGCUGAAGGACUGCAGAACGCCUCUGGGAGCCUCCCUGGAUGAGCAAAGCAAUCCUCUGUUGAAGGGCAUGCUGGUGAGAAAUGGAGGAAGUUUUGAAGAUGACUUAUCCCUGGGAGCCGAAGCUAAUCAACUACGGAGUGAUACCCAAAUGGAAACAUGCAAUGGUGUUCUGGCGAAGGAGAGGAGGCUGCAGUUCCACCAGAAAGGGAGAAGUAUGAACUCGACCGGGUCUGGAAAAAGCAGUGCAACUGUCUCAAGUGUUUCUGAAUUACUGGAGCUUUAUGAAGAAGAUCCUGAAGAAGUGCUCUAUAACCUUGGGUUUGGACGAGAUGAACCAGAUAUUGCUUCAAAAAUUCCAGCAAGAUUUUUUAAUUCAUCAUCAUUUGCCAGAGGGAUAGAUAUUAAAGUGUUUUUGAAUGCCCAAAUACAGCGCAUGGAAGUGGAAAAUCCAAAUUUUGCUUUAACAAGUCGCUUUCGUCAGAUUGAAGUGCUCACUACUGUGGCCAAUGCUUUUUCUUCUUUGUAUUCUCAAGUCUCUGGGACUCCUUUGCAGAAAAUUGGUAGUAUGAAUUCAGUGUCUUCCAGCAAAGAGGCAUCCAGCCCUCCCCCUUUGAAUCGCAGCAAUACAGCCAGUCGGUUAAUGAAGACCUUGUCAAAGCUCAAUCUGUGUGGCACACAGCAAGCUGAUGGUAGUGGCUGCUCGACUCCUUCACCCGUUGAAAAAGGGAAAAGUCCAGCUGAACCAGGAGGUGAGGAAGAUGAUGAUAAAAGUGAAUCUAAAUUACCAAAAUACCCUAAAAAGAAGGACUCUCCCUCUUUUUUGGCUACUGUAAAGGAGGAGAUAGCCAGUAGUCAGACAAAUGCUGUGGACACAAAUAAAGCUGCAAACCUUCCUGCUGGGACUGACAGUAAGCAAGAGGGUACUGUGCCUCCAGCAGAUGUGCAAAGCAGCAGCUUGGCAAGUGCCCAGGAUAGACCAAGUGAAGAAUCUGGUCUUUUGGACUCACCAGGCCUCAGCAGUGAUUCCAGUUCAUCCAACUGCAGCACUGCAACGCAAAGGCUGCCUGCGCCAUCACCGGGUAGAGACCCCUGUGCUCCCCUCGCAAACCCGUCUGUAACGAAUCUAAUGCUGCAGCAGAAGGACUCCUUUGAGAUGGAAGAGAUCCAGAGUACAGAGGGGGAUCUACCACACAUUCCAGCUUCUCACCAGCUGGCAGUGACCAAGUCAAGGAAAGAUCAGCUGUUACGGUCUGCGAGUCAGCACUCUGACAGCAGUGGCUUUGCUGAGGACUCCUCCACAGAUUGUUCUCCAUUUAAUCAGCUUCAGGUUCAGGAGUCUUUGCAAGGCAUGGGAAGCAGUGCUGACAGCUGUGACAGUGAGACAACGGUGACGUCGCAUAGUGAGGAACAGAAGACACCGAUAGCCAAAGAACUGCCCUGUUUCAAUAAGUUUCAGGAGGAGGAAGAAGAUGAUGAGGAUGAUGAGGAUGAUGAAGAGGAUAUUAUCUCCCAAGUAGAGAGACAAAAGGUAGGGGCACCUUCUCAGAACAGAAGGAACGAAGAUAGAAAAAGUAUUGACUAUGAAAUGGAACAAAAUCAAGGACGAGAAAGCAAGUCAUCUCAUAUGUCAGAGACAGUGCAAGGAGAGGUCAGCUCUAAAGAGGAAGACAUUUCCAGAGAGCAAAAAGAAUUGGAACUGCUGGAGGAAGGCAGUGUGUUUGAGUUUCCUCAGUACCACACACACCAUAUCCUCAAGUCUUUGGAGUCUCUGGAAGGUGGCAGUUCCUCCCCAUCGUCUGUGGACAGGGUUCACGUCGCCUUGCAAAGAGCCGAGAUGAGGAUCAUCAGCACAUCUGAUUCUAGGGCCGGAUGCACUCUACCCAAGUCAAAAGAUCUCCUGAGGAAGCAGAGACUCUGGUUUGCUGAAUCGGGCUAUCCUCUAAGGCGGUCUCAGUCUCUCCCAUCUGCAUUGCUGAAUCCAGUUAAAGUGGUGUCGUCUGUGAAUGUCCAGUUAACUCCAGGAAAGGAGACUCUGUGCAGUCCUCCUUCUUUCACCUACAAGUACACACGUGUGGAGGAAGAUGAGAAAGUGACAGCUGAGAAUGACAAAAGUGAGGGUGAGGCAGCCGUUAGCCAGCCAGUGUGUAAAUCCACGCUGUUCAUUGCGCCAUCGUCCUCCAAGAAAGAGGUCCCCCCGACUGGGCCCAGCAGGCUGUUUGAGGAGCCCAGUCCCACCAGGGUACAGAGCUGCCCGCUGCACACACCGGCACACAUGUCCCAGUCGACCUGCUCCCUCCACUCCCUCCCUGCCGAGUGGCAGGACAGACCGCUCUGCGAGCAUGUGAGGACGCUGAGCACCCACAGUGUCCCAAGCAUCUCUGGCUCUUCCUUCGGUGCCUUGCUGUCCCCCUUCAGCUGCCCCUUCUCCCCAAGGCAUGCUGGAUUUCCUCAUCGACCUCAUGCCAUCAACCCGCCCUCUACCGUGGAGAUGCAGCUGCGCAGAGUCCUACACGACAUCAGAAACUCUCUGCAGAACCUGUCACAGUACCCAGUGAUGAGGGGUCAGGAUCUUUCAGCUGCCACCAGUUACACUGCUCAGAGAUCAUCCAUUCUACCUCUCUACGAAAAUACUUUCCAGGAGCUACAAGUGGUAAGGCGAAAUCUAAACUUAUUCAGAACCCAAAUGAUGGAUUUGGAGUUGACUAUGUUACGUCAACAGACAACAGUUUAUCAGCACAUGACAGAAGAAGAAAGAUACGAAGCUGAUCAGCUACAGAGCUUGAGAAAGUCUGUCCGCAUGGAGCUACAGGAGUUAGAGAUGCAGUUAGAAGAACGUCUGCUUGCUUUGGAAGACCAGCUGAGAAGCCUGCACAUGUCUUCACCUUACAGACCUCAGACACACAUAGGUAUGUAUGGAAGCAGAAGUGCUGAUAAUCUGUCAUGCCCUUCUCCAUUGAAUGUCAUUGAACCAGUCUCUGAACUUAUUCGAGAGCAGUCAUUUCUGAAGUCUGAACUGGGUUUAGGACUGGGAGAUCUUGGACUGGAAACUCUCCCAGCAGAGGGUACAGAGUCUGUAUUCUCCCAUGGAAACUCUGAUUCCUCUUCAGUGUGCUCCGGUCAUGCAGGUAGAAAAGCUGGUGUUGGAUCCUCUGAACUAACAGGAAAAUCGAAGGGUCAAAGCAAGAAGUUAUACCGAGCCUCCAUUGCGUUAACACCAACUCCCCCGGUGAGAGCAGGCGCUGGACAGCAGGUGGAAAGCUCUGAUGAGCUUGUAGAUUCCAAGCCAGAGGUGGAGCACAAACUUGAAAAAGUCCCUCUCGUGCCUUUGGUUGAUGAAAUCCAUAAAACUGUGGAGCAGGAGGAGCUGCAGCAAGUCAUACGGGAGAUCAAGGAAUCCAUUGUUGGUGAAAUAAGACGAGAAAUAGUAAGUGGAUUGUUAGCAGCUGUAUCACCCCAAAGCAGAUCUGCAACUGCAAAGCAAGAUACACAGCCAUGAAACUGGUACUACAGCUUGUAUGAGUAUGCGGUUCCAUUGCAGAGUGCCACUGGGGAGCGACCAGCCAGACCCAAGUGCCUGCAACCUUCCUUCACAAAUGCACAAGCCCAAAACCUACUCAAAUAAUGGCAGCAGCAGAUGCUCCCCUUGUCCCCCAGCCAGGUUAAUUUGCACACUCAAUUGUUAAUCUAGGUCCUGUGCCCAUAUGCUACUCAAAGUGGCAUUCCAAAAGAGGUGGCAACUGUGGAUCUCUCGGAGCACUGGAGGAAAGCAUUUCAGGAGCCAAGGGCUGCCAGCACCAUGCUCCGCAGGUAUGGUCGCCUGGCUCCGCACCGCUCUGGCAAGGAAAGUCACUUGUAGGUAACGUCCUGGAGUGUCUAUGGCACUUCAGCUCGUAGCUUGUAAGAACAUUUGAUCUCAGCAAUGCAAUCUAGUGUUUUAAUAUAUCCUAAGAAAUGAAAAAUAGUGCCAAUUUUUCAUCCAGCUGGUGGAAGGCGUAUUUGUGAGGUUCUGGCAUAAUUUAAAAUGAAGACAUUUCGAAAUGGCAUUUCUAAAAACUGCACUAAAACUAAUGAAUAUAGGAGCACCUAUUUUUCCAUAAUCCUUGGUAAGUGAUUUUUGCCAUUCUUAAGACACUUACUGGUAAUAUUUUCUGAGUGACAUUUAUGUAGAUAUAGGAACGUCUAUAAACUCCUGUUUAAAAAAGAUAAAACUGUAGUACACUGCUGUCAUAUAAGUUAAGCUGAACUGAUAUCAACCUCUGUUGACAUUUCUGUUUGUGCCUUAGGAACAGCCGUCAUUAUUAUUGGACACACACCUAACCUGGGUGGCUUGCCCUUUAGUAACGUCAAUUCAGCUGUAACGAUUUUCUGAGCGUGGACAGUUUUUUCUUUUGUUUGGUGACUGAAACUGCUACUUUCCUUACAGAUCAGUGUUGUCUUUUUUUCUACCAGCCUGCAAUUUGAUAUGAAUUCUAUGCAGAUUAAACCAGCUUUAAUAGUGGCUGAUAAAUAUUGGUCAAUCAAAUUUGCUGUGAAUAAAGCCGGCAGUAAAGCCGGAGAUAUUUUGGAUGCUUUUCUAAACUUCAUUGUGAUAGCGAUCUUUGUGGAUGCCAGCUGGCUGCAGGAAUGUAAAGCAAAGUGAUGUAUUUUGGAAACCCUAAGAACUAGCUGUUUUCUGUGGGUACAGGGCAGCUACAUCCCUGUUGGCAGCAAAGUAGAGUUGUAUUUAGCCUGCUACAGAGCAAUAUGUGCCUAUGGCACAGCUCAACUCAGGCAGAGGUUUGGGAGGCUAAUACUUGGAGAUUUUUUUUUUUAUUUCUAUUGUUUUUUUAAGGUGAGUAAAAGCAUGUUUCUAGCCCCUCUUGUUCCCUUGUUGCAAUGAAAAGCAACAAAAACAACCUCUGCUGAAAUGUGGAGACAUCUCAGCAUUCAGAAGCUGGAGGCAAUAGCUGGAAAGGUGGGAGCAGCCCCCUGCAUGCUUGGGUUAGUGCUGUGAUGCCUGUAAGGUGCUGCUGCCACCGCUCACCCACAGCGCUGUGUAUGCAAGACCUGAAAAAGAAAGGAUGGAGGAUGGCCACGGACCCAGCUGCACGGCCAGGGGUGAGUACACGGGAGGAGAGGCUUCUGCUGCUGGUAGUUUCUGCAGUGCUGUUUGGAGAGAGGACUCAAAAGUGGCCCUGACUCUUCUGAAAGAGCUGAUGGGCUCACGAAGCUCUUUCAGGCACUUUUGCUGACCAUGACCUUCAUAGAGGGAGGGGGGCUGCCCUGUGUCUUCUGCUUUCUCUGAAAUUAUGUGAUGUGCAAGGCCUUGGCAGCCUGCUUCUGGAAGGCAAGUGAUGCCCAAGAUGCUCCAAGCUGCACAUUUCCUAAGGACGAGUUUGCUUCGAUUGCUGUUUUCUUUUAAGGGUGAAAGGAAAAAUCCUGGACAGUGGUUAAGUAAUUAGGUGGUAGUGAUGAGAAGGCAGCAUGAUGAAAAGCAAGAAUUGCCUCAGUGGUCUGCCAGAGGCAGCCCCAAGCUGUUGCUCCUCUCCAUGAUCUGUUUGCUCUCCGUUCUGGCUGGCUGUGUCCUCUCCCCUGCUGAGAGAGUCCGUGGGCCCUCCAAGACCCCGACCAACAUGCACCUUCCCUCAGCAGGAAGCCUCACCCCAGAUCAGGAAAAGAAGGCCUACACCAGCAUCACUCGUCAUCAUGAAUGAACACGUGCCUCCAG